RNAcentral lists this ribosomal RNA (253 nucleotides) under uncultured bacterium. Its description in RNAcentral is "partial 16S ribosomal RNA". It matches the Rfam family "Bacterial small subunit ribosomal RNA", at positions 524 to 776 of the family's 1533-position model. The record is from RNAcentral.
UACGUAGGGGGCAAGCGUUGUCCGGAAUCAUUGGGCGUAAAGAGCGUGUAGGCGGCUCGAUAAGUCUGCUGUGAAAGACCGGGGCUCAACUCCGGUUCUGCAGUGGGUACGGGCAGACUAGAGUGCAGUAGGGGAGACUGGAAUUCCUGGUGUAGCGGUGAAAUGCGCAGAUAUCAGGAGGAACACCUAUAGCGAAGGCAGCUUGCUGGGACGUUACUGACGCUAAGGCGCGAAAGCGUGGGGAGCGAACAGG